AUUGAACGCUGGCGGCAGGCUUAACACAUGCAAGUCGAGCGGGGUGAUGGUGCUUGCACUAUCACUUAGCGGCGGACGGGUGAGUAAUGCUUAGGAAUCUGCCUAUUAGUGGGGGACAACAUCUCGAAAGGGAUGCUAAUACCGCAUACGUCCUACGGGAGAAAGCAGGGGAUCACUUGUGACCUUGCGCUAAUAGAUGAGCCUAAGUCGGAUUAGCUAGUUGGUGGGGUAAAGGCCUACCAAGGCGACGAUCUGUAGCGGGUCUGAGAGGAUGAUCCGCCACACGGGGACUGAGACACGGCCCAGACUCCUACGGGAGGCAGCAGGGGGGAAUAUUGGACAAUGGGGGGAACCCUGAUCUAGCCAUGCCGCGUGUGUGAAGAAGGCCUUAUGGUUGUAAAGCACUUUAAGCGAGGAGGAGGCUCUUUUGGUUAAUACCCAAGAUGAGUGGACGUUACUCGCAGAAUAAGCACCGGCUAACUCUGUGCCAGCCGCCGCCGUAA
This 503-nucleotide ribosomal RNA is filed under the name uncultured bacterium. RNAcentral describes it as "partial 16S ribosomal RNA". It matches the Rfam family "Bacterial small subunit ribosomal RNA", at positions 30 to 523 of the family's 1533-position model. The record is from RNAcentral.